AGAAUGAACGCUAGCGAUAUGCUUAACACAUGCAAGUUGAACGUUGUUUUCGAGUCAAAAUGAAACAAAGUGGCGAACGGGUGCGUAACACGUGGGAAUCUGCCAAACAGUUUGGGCCAAAUCCUGAAUGAAUGAAAGCUAAAAAGCGCUGUUUGAUGAGCCCACGUAGUAUUAGGUAGUUGGUUAGGUAAAAGCUGACCAAGCCUACGAUGCUUAGCUGGUCUUUUCGGAUGAUCAGCCACACUGGGACUGAGACACGGCCCAGACUCCUACGGGAGGCAGCAGUGGGGAAUCUUGGACAAUGGGCGAAAGCCUGAUCCGGCAAUAUGGCGUGAGUGAAGAAGGGCAACGCAGCUUGUAAAAGCUCUUUCAUCGAGUGUGCGAUUGUGACAAGACUUGAAUAAGAAGCCCCGGCUAACUCGCGCCAGCAGCCGC
This 435-nucleotide ribosomal RNA is filed under the name uncultured bacterium. Its description in RNAcentral is "SSU rRNA". It matches the Rfam family "Bacterial small subunit ribosomal RNA", at positions 26 to 518 of the family's 1533-position model. The record is from RNAcentral.